UCAAAUUUUAAGUCUGUUCGACUUUUAAAUUCUUACAUGAUCUGAGUUCAAACCGGUGUAAGCCAGGUUGGUUUCUAUCUUUAAAAAAUUAUGAUAUUUUAGUACGAAAGGACCAAAUAUC
RNAcentral lists this ribosomal RNA (121 nucleotides) under Drosophila melanogaster (fruit fly). Its description in RNAcentral is "16S ribosomal RNA". The record is from RNAcentral. Lineage: Eukaryota; Metazoa; Arthropoda; Insecta; Diptera; Drosophilidae.